CGCUUUGGCAAAGGGAAGGAAUCUUGCUUGGGUUGACAUGCAAGGAAAAUAAAAAAAGGGGGGGGGGAUAGUGGAUUGGAAAAGGAAUUGAGAUGAGAGGGUGGAGUGACGCACUAGAAGGGGGCGUGCGUGAAACUCAGACAACGGGGAGGGGGGUUGGAGUUUUUUUACUUUAAUUUAAUUCUUUCGGCCGGGAAUCGAAAGGGCAAGGGAAAAAACAAACUCAAACAAUUUUAGAUUAAUAUAAUUUUUUAACCUAACCCAAAAUUCCUAACGGAAAUUUUAAAAUAAUUUAAAACUUUCAACAACGUACCUCAUGGUUCUCGCAUCGAUGAAGAACGUAGCGAAUGGCGACAGGGAAUGGGAAUUGCUGGUACUCGUGAAUCAUUGAAUUUUAGAACGCACAUUGCGCGCUUGAGCUGUCUCGAGGGCAUGCCAGUAUUGAGCGACAUUUCCUUCUCAAAAGAUAAUUUUUUAUCUUUUGGGAAUGCCGAUACUCAGGGUUAGCCUGUAGAUGAAGAUUGAAUCAUCAUUUUUUAAUUCAACACUUAGCUUGCUUUUGGAGACGCUGUUCUAAGCUGUGAUGUAUUUAUGAAUUUUAUUCGGUUUUACUUUACAAGGGGGAAAUGGUUCAUGUACCCUUAGGCAAAAGGUGUGCUUUUUUACUAAUUCAUCAAGCUUUGAACCUCCAAAUCAGGUUGGAUUCCCCCGCUGAACUCAAAGCAUUAUCAAUAAGCGAAGGGAACUU
This 748-nucleotide ribosomal RNA is filed under the name Hanseniaspora guilliermondii. RNAcentral's name for it is "eukaryotic LSU rRNA". The stretch from base 297 to 451 matches the Rfam family "5.8S ribosomal RNA". Lineage: Eukaryota; Fungi; Ascomycota; Saccharomycetes; Saccharomycodales; Saccharomycodaceae. The record is from RNAcentral.